AAGGAUUUAAGUUAAAAUAAACUAUUAACCUUCAAAGUUGAAAAUAAUAAAAUAAAUUAUAAGCCUUA
This 68-nucleotide transfer RNA is filed under the name Cylindratus longicephalus. RNAcentral describes it as "tRNA-Trp". The record is from RNAcentral. Lineage: Eukaryota; Metazoa; Arthropoda; Insecta; Hemiptera; Caliscelidae.